Molecule: transfer RNA, 71 nt
Filed under: Marmota monax (woodchuck)
Lineage: Eukaryota; Metazoa; Chordata; Mammalia; Rodentia; Sciuridae
Rfam family: tRNA
About the family: Transfer RNA (tRNA) molecules are approximately 80 nucleotides in length. Their secondary structure includes four short double-helical elements and three loops (D, anti-codon, and T loops).
Source: Rfam by way of RNAcentral
UGGGGUGAGCUCAGUGGUAGAGUGCUUGCCUAGCAUGUGUGAAGCACUGGGUUCAAUUCUCAGCACCACAU